This 259-nucleotide unclassified non-coding RNA is filed under the name plant metagenome. RNAcentral's name for it is "partial contains small subunit ribosomal RNA, internal transcribed spacer 1, and 5.8S ribosomal RNA". The stretch from base 1 to 54 matches the Rfam family "Eukaryotic small subunit ribosomal RNA", at positions 1778 to 1831 of the family's 1831-position model. The record is from RNAcentral.
GGAAGUAAAAGCCGUAACAAGGUUUCCGUUGGUGAACCAGCGGAGGGAUCAUUAAAGAGUUCUAUAACUCCCAAACCCAUGUGAACAUACCUUACGUUGCCUCGGCAGGUCGUGCCUACCCCGUAGCGUCCUACCCUGUAGGACCUACCCGGUAGACGCGGGUAAGCCUGCCGGCGGCCCACGAAACUCUGUUUAGUAUUGAAUUCUGAACCUAUAACUAAAUAAGUUAAAACUUUCAACAACGGAUCUCUUGGUUCUG